AAUGAAUUAAUCAUUAAAAAUAAUAAAAGAAUCUCUCUGUCUCGCAAUUCUACAGUCUACUUAUGUUCUCCAAAUAAGAUAUGUGAGCGCGCCCUGCAAUAUCUUCUUUCAGACCAGAGUCGAACAAGCUGAGCUUGAAGGGUCAAACAAAGCAGGAAGCAAGUAUUUCCUGCCAUCAACACCGUGUGCAUUGUAGCUAGCACCAGUUGUAGCGUCCACCAAGAGAUCCCCUGCAUAACCGGGAUAGGCUCCCUUUCCAUAUACCCCAGGGCAAGCCGAUGCAGCUUCCAGGGGAGCCUCCUUUGGACCUUGGAAGUAUCCAUUUCCAAAUGGAUUGGU
This 339-nucleotide unclassified non-coding RNA is filed under the name Hevea brasiliensis (rubber tree). Lineage: Eukaryota; Viridiplantae; Streptophyta; Magnoliopsida; Malpighiales; Euphorbiaceae. The record is from RNAcentral.